This is a small nuclear RNA of Chionomys nivalis (European snow vole), 106 nucleotides long. The record is from RefSeq and is a predicted model, not a curated record. NCBI's taxonomy places the organism in Eukaryota, Metazoa, Chordata, Mammalia, Rodentia, Cricetidae.
AUGCUCGCUUUGGCAGCACACACACUAAAACUGGAACGAUACAGAGAAGAUCAGCAGGGCCCUGUGCUAGGAUGACAUGCAAAUUCGUGACACAUUCCUUAUUUUU